UCCGGUACCGCUUGGUACACCUUUUGAGGAAGAAAUAGGUGUAGGUGCUCACGAUAUGGAUUAUGUAGAAGCUCAGGAAAAUUACGGUAUAGAAGAAGAAAAUGAAGUAGAUGCGGUUAAUUUAGACGAAGAUAAUGAAAAUAUUGCUGAGACACCCGCAGUAGGAGAUGCUAACGUUAGAUCUGAAUCAGUUAAUCUCCCUUCCCGUCCUCCCAGUGCCCCAAAACCUCGUAAAAGAACUAGUAUUGCAUGACAAUUUUUUGAACGUAUAUCAGAUAUUGAGGUGCAAUGCAAUAUUUGUCAACAAAUAUAUAAGCAUAGAAGUGGAGGCAAGCAAGGGGGUACGGGUACGUUAAUGAGACAUAUAGCUGAAGAUCACAAAAGAGAGU
This 389-nucleotide long non-coding RNA is filed under the name Capsicum annuum. RNAcentral describes it as "long non-coding RNA (CANN_LNC011914)". Lineage: Eukaryota; Viridiplantae; Streptophyta; Magnoliopsida; Solanales; Solanaceae. The record is from RNAcentral.